Molecule: ribosomal RNA, 492 nt
Filed under: uncultured bacterium
Lineage: Bacteria
Description: partial 16S ribosomal RNA
Rfam family: Bacterial small subunit ribosomal RNA
Source: RNAcentral
AGUGAACGCUGGCGGUAGGCCUAACACAUGCAAGUCGAACGGCAGCACAGUAAGAGCUUGCUCUUACGGGUGGCGAGUGGCGGACGGGUGAGGAAUACAUCGGAAUCUACUUUUUCGUGGGGGAUAACGUAGGAAAACUUACGCUAAUACCGCAUACGACCUACGGGUGAAAGCAGGGGAUCUUCGGACCUUGCGCGAUUGAAUGAGCCGAUGUCGGAUUAGCUAGUUGGCGGGGUAAAGGCCCACCAAGGCGACGAUCCGUAGCUGGUCUGAGAGGAUGAUCAGCCACACUGGAACUGAGACACGGUCCAGACUCCUACGGGAGGCAGCAGUGGGGAAUAUUGGACAAUGGGCGCAAGCCUGAUCCAGCCAUACCGCGUGGGUGAAGAAGGCCUUCGGGUUGUAAAGCCCUUUUGUUGGGAAAGAAAAGCAGCAGGUUAAUACCCCGCUGUUCUGACGGUACCCAAAGAAUAAGCACCGGCUAACGUCGUG